Long non-coding RNA from Diorhabda carinulata, 2208 nucleotides. RefSeq lists it as uncharacterized. The transcript has 3 exons. The record is from RefSeq and is a predicted model, not a curated record. Lineage: Eukaryota; Metazoa; Arthropoda; Insecta; Coleoptera; Chrysomelidae.
AGUAAAUGAAACACUUGCUUAUAUUAAACACGCAUGUGUUCUAUUUUUACUCAAAAAUGUUCAAUAGCAAUAAUAUACAAUCGAAAUAAUUGUGAAUACGAUGUAUAUCCGCAAAAAGUUUUUAUAGGCCGCCUGUUUUUCAACCAUGUGGUAACAUCAGCUCGUCAUCAUCGUUGAAGUGUUGACCACCAAUGAAAUAUUUUAGGAGAUCAUCAGCCACUAUGUUAGUUGAUGCAGGAGGUGAUAUGCUAUCAUUAAAACAACUUGGUGUCUGGCAAUCUUCUACAGUAGCGGAAUCAAUCUCUUAAAUAUCAAAAUGACAACGCAUUACGAAUAGCGGAAGCAAUUACCAAUUAUCAAUCUUCGUCUUCUGAGAUACCCAGCAGUACUACAAUUAUAAAUAAUCACCAUUAAAUAAUAAGACACAAUCAGUUUACAAUAAUUGUUAUUAACAAAUAUAGUAGAUGUUGGGCCACUUGGAAUGCCCCCUACCACUCCACAUUUACGCUUAGUGCUAGCGGCACCCACUUCACAUUUACGGUGCAACGUACUAGUGAUUCCUGAGAUUGAUAACAAUAUUUAGUUAUUAUGAGGAAUCUGAUGUAAUCACUCAAUGAUUUGCUAUUUUUUAAUCUGUCUGGCUAAUAACCAAAUAAUAUAUUUUUGUGAAUUAUUGUUUCAAAAAGAAAUAUAUACAGUCAAACCAGGAUAAGUGAGAAAACUCUAUAAGUGAGAGCAAUGCCAGGACUCAAAAAUUUAACAUGUUCUAUUUUAUGACUCAUUCUUAACUUUCGUGGAACUUCCUACCAUUGUUUUUGUAUUCUCGUCAAUAUUGUACCUAUUCUAUUUCGUGGAACUGAAUAAUGUUGUUAUUUUAUCGCAUUCUUUUCAAAUGGACACGUGUGCCUGUGUAUCGUCCUGUUUGUUGGACUUACUCAGUUUAUAGUUAUCAAUUGCGAAGGAAAAUUCUGUUCUGCAUCAAGUCAAAACGAAAAAUUAAAGUACUGUCAUUAAGUGAUAAACUUAAAAUAGUGAAUGCGUUUGAAUCCGGAAAAUCGCGAAAUGAAAUUCAGAGGGAGUUUAAUUUACCAGAAUCCACCUAUAAAAUCAUAAAAUCAAAAGGCUCCAUAAAGUCUGAGUGCUUUGAUGGACAUGGAAAUAUUAAGAGGGCUAGAGUUUCUGAAUUUGGAAUGGAUAAAACAAACUCUCGAUAAGAAUAUUCCCAUAGAUGGACGUUUGUUGAAAGAGAAAUCAAAAGAGUUUGCUACAAAACUGGGAAUCCAGAACUUUUCUGUUAGCAACGGCUGGAUAGACGGUUUUAAAAGGCGUCAUGACAUAGCUUUCAAAAAAGCAGCUGGAGAAAGUAAAUCUGUGGACCAAGGUGUGUGCAACCAGUGGACUGAAGAUCUGCCGAAUCUUUUAGAAGGGUAUGAACCAGACUAUAUUUACAAUGCGGAUGAAACUGCUUUGUUUUUAAGUGCCUUCCGGAUAAAACAUUUACGUUUAAAGGCGAAAAAUGGAGGGAAUCAAAGCAAGGAACGCCUUACACUUCUCCGGUGGGUAAACAUGAGUAGUACGGACAAACUCCCACUUCUCAUCAUCAGGAAAUCAAAGCGACCUAGAUGUUUUAAAGGUGUCAAGACUCUACCCGUUGAUUAUGCCAAUAAUACAAAGGCUUGGAUUACCAAAAUAUUAUUUAAAGAUUGGUUGAAAAAAGUUGACAAACUGUGCUGUCCAUACGUCCAACACUUGCAAACGUAAAAGUAAUGUUUUUACCUACUAAUACCACUAGUAAACUUCAACCAUUAGAUCAAGACAUCAUUCAUACUUUUAAACGCUUUUAUCGCUGAGAAGUCGUUAAACAUAUUCUUACGAGUCUGGAAGAAAACAGUAGCCCUGAUAUUAACCUACUUCUAGCUAUGAAAUUUGCUAGAAAAGUCUGGUACUUAGUCAGUGACGUUGCCGUCAAAAAAGCUGGAUUUUGGAAAAGUAUAGAUGAGCAAGACCUGCCAGAGGAAAAUGAUGUUGAAGUUGGACCUAACAACGAGGAAUGGACUAAGCUUGUGUCUCACGAAUCCAAUAUGUUAAUGCCAAGCUUCGAAGAUUUCGUUCAAAUUGACGACGACGUAACUACCGCUGGAGAACAAAGCGACGACGAUAUCUUUAAGAAUUGUGUGAACACCUGUAUUGCUGGAAAUGACAGUGAAG